UACGUAGGGGGCGAGCGUUGUCCGGAAUUAUUGGGCGUAAAGGGCGCGUAGGCGGGUAUUUAAGUCCGAUGUGAAAGAACAGGGCUCAACCCUGAGGGUGCAUCGGAAACUGGGUAUCUUGAGGACAGGAGAGGAAAGUGGAAUUCCACGUGUAGCGGUGAAAUGCGUAGAUAUGUGGAGGAACACCAGUGGCGAAGGCGACUUUCUGGACUGUAACUGACGCUGAGGCGCGAAAGCGUGGGGAGCAAACAGG
This 253-nucleotide ribosomal RNA is filed under the name uncultured bacterium. RNAcentral describes it as "partial 16S ribosomal RNA". It matches the Rfam family "Bacterial small subunit ribosomal RNA", at positions 524 to 776 of the family's 1533-position model. The record is from RNAcentral.